GACCUCGGAUCAGGUAGGAAUACCCGCUGAACUUAAGCAUAUCAAUAAGCGGAGGAAAAGAAACCAACAGGGAUUGCCUCAGUAACGGCGAGUGAAGCGGCAACAGCUCAAAUUUGAAAUCUGGCUCCUUCGGGGUCCGAGUUGUAAUUUGCAGAGGAUGCGUCGGGUACGGGUCCCUACCGAGUUCCCUGGAACGGGACGCCAUAGAGGGUGAGAGCCCCGUCUGGUAGGAUACCCAGCCCAUGUGACGCUCCCUCGACGAGUCGAGUAGUUUGGGAAUGCUGCUCUAACGGGAGGUAUACUCCUUCCAAAGCUAAAUACCGGCUGGAGACCGAUAGCGCACAAGUAGAGUGAUCGAAAGAUGAAAAGCACUUUGAAAAGAGAGUCAAACAGCACGUGAAAUUGUUAAAAGGGAAGCACUCGCUACCAGACUUGGGUUCGGCGGUUCAACCGGGGCCACGCCCCGGGGCAUUCCGCCGGCUCAGGCCAGCAUCAGCUUUCCGUCGGGGGCAAAGACGUCGGGAAUGUGGCUCCCCCUCGGGGGAGUGUUAUAGCCCGGCGUGUCAUACCCUUCGGGGGGCUGAGGUACGCGCUUCUGCAAGGAUGCUGGCGUAAUGGUAGCUAGUGACCCGUCUUGA
This 638-nucleotide ribosomal RNA is filed under the name Plectosphaerella sp. MH727. RNAcentral describes it as "eukaryotic LSU rRNA". It matches the Rfam family "Eukaryotic large subunit ribosomal RNA", at positions 1 to 657 of the family's 3401-position model. The record is from RNAcentral. Lineage: Eukaryota; Fungi; Ascomycota; Sordariomycetes; Glomerellales; Plectosphaerellaceae.